CAAGUCUUGACAUCCACUAAAUCCCACAGAAACGUGGGAGUGCCCUUCGGGGAAUAGUGAGACAGGUGGUGCAUGGUUGUCGUCAGCUCGUGUCGUGAGAUGUUGGGUUAAGUCCCGCAACGAGCGCAACCCCUAUCCUAUGUUGCCAGCAAGUAAAGUUGGGGACUCAUAGGAGACUGCCGGUGACAAACCGGAGGAAGGUGGGGAUGACGUCAAAUCAUCAUGCCCCUUAUGACUUGGGCUACACACGUGCUACAAUGGCAGGUACAGAGGGAAGCGAAGCCGCGAGGUGAAGCAAACCCCAAAAAGCCUGUCCCAGUUCGGAUUGUAGUCUGCAACUCGACUACAUGAAGUUGGAAUCGCUAGUAAUCGCAGGUCAGCACACUGCGGUGAAUACGUUCCC
Molecule: ribosomal RNA, 403 nt
Filed under: uncultured bacterium
Lineage: Bacteria
Description: bacterial SSU rRNA
Rfam family: Bacterial small subunit ribosomal RNA
Source: RNAcentral